GGGGAUAGCCUUUCGAAAGAAAGAUUAAUACCCGAUGUCAUAGUCCUACCGCAUGAUGGGAUUAUUAAAGAAUUUCGGUAUGGGAUGGGGAUGCGUUCCAUUAGUUAGUUGGUGGGGUAACGGCCCACCAAGACGACGAUGGAUAGGGGUUCUGAGAGGAAGGUCCCCCACAUUGGAACUGAGACACGGUCCAAACUCCUACGGGAGGCAGCAGUGAGGAAUAUUGGUCAAUGGACGAGAGUCUGAACCAGCCAAGUAGCGUGAAGGAUGACUGCCCUAUGGGUUGUAAACUUCUUUUAUAUGGGAAUAAAAUGUUCCACGUGUGGGAUUUUGUAUGUACCAUAUGAAUAAGGAUCGGCUAACUCCGUGCCAGCAGCCGCGGUAAUACGGAGGAUCCGAGCGUUAUCCGGAUUUAUUGGGUUUAAAGGGAGCGUAGGUGGAUUGUUAAGUCAGUUGUGAAAGUUUGCGGCUCAACCGUAAAAUUGCAGUUGAAACUGGCAGUCUUGAGUACAGUAGAGGUGGGCGGAAUUCGUGGUGUAGCGGUGAAAUGCUUAGAUAUCACGAAGAACUCCGAUUGCGAAGGCAGCUCACUGGACUGCAACUGACACUGAGGCUCGAAAGUGUGGGUAUCAAACAGGAUUAGAUACCCUGGUAGUCCACACAGUAAACG
RNAcentral lists this ribosomal RNA (670 nucleotides) under uncultured bacterium. Its description in RNAcentral is "bacterial SSU rRNA". It matches the Rfam family "Bacterial small subunit ribosomal RNA", at positions 139 to 808 of the family's 1533-position model. The record is from RNAcentral.